AGAGUUUGAUCAUGGCUCAGGAGAACGCUGCGGCGUGCUUAACACAUGCAAGUCGAACGAGGCACUUGUGCCUAGUGGCGAACGGGUGAGUAACACGUGAGCAACCUGCCCCUGGCUCUGGGAUAGCCUCCGGAAACGGGGAUUAAUACCGGACAUGACCUGCUGCGGCAUCGCGGCGGGUGGAAAGUUUUUCGGCCGGGGAGGGGCUCGCGGCCUAUCAGCUUGUUGGGGGGGUAACGGCCCACCAAGGCGACGACGGGUAGCCGGCCUGAGAGGGCGACCGGCCACACUGGGACUGAGACACGGCCCAGACUCCUGCGGGAGGCAGCAGUGGGGAAUAUUGCACAAUGGGGGAAACCCUGAUGCAGCGACGCCGCGUGCGGGAUGAAGGCCUUCGGGUUGUAAACCGCUUUCACCACAGACGAAGCGCAAGUGACGGUAUGUGGGGAAGAAGCGCCGGCUAACUACGUGCCAGCAGCCGCGGUAAUACGUAGGGCGCGAGCGUUGUCCGGAAUUAUUGGGCGUAAAGAGCUCGUAGGCGGCCUGUUGCGUCUGCUGUGAAAUCCCGGGGCUUAACCCCGGGCGUGCAGUGGAUACGGGCAGGCUGGAGGCAGGCAGGGGAGAACGGAAUUCCCGGUGUAGCGGUGAAAUGCGCAGAUAUCGGGAGGAACACCGGUGGCGAAGGCGGUUCUCUGGGCCUGUUCUGACGCUGAGGAGCGAAAGCGUGGGGAGCGAACAGGAUUAGAUACCCCUGUAGUCC
RNAcentral lists this ribosomal RNA (760 nucleotides) under uncultured bacterium. Its description in RNAcentral is "bacterial SSU rRNA". It matches the Rfam family "Bacterial small subunit ribosomal RNA", at positions 8 to 796 of the family's 1533-position model. The record is from RNAcentral.